RNAcentral lists this long non-coding RNA (351 nucleotides) under Homo sapiens (human). RNAcentral describes it as "HSALNT0298626". Lineage: Eukaryota; Metazoa; Chordata; Mammalia; Primates; Hominidae. The record is from RNAcentral.
UGAGGUGUCAAACACUGUGGCAGGCACUGGAGGUGCCAGGAUGAGUUCAAUGAGCCUGGUGACAAUGUUCCAGGCACCCCCAGGCUGAUGGGAGAGACCGACAGCUGAACACUGGACCAUGCCGCAGCCAGCACUCACACACUGAGGAGAUGCAAUUUUAAAGACACUCAUCUAUGGAGUGCCCCAAAUGCACUAGGACUGCACAGGCUGUGUGGGGAACUCAAGGUUGAAAAAGAUAUAUCCUUGGCCCUCAGGAAGACUACAGCCAGUGUAAAGGGGACCAUAACGAUGUCUACAUCCCAGGGCUGUCGCGAGUGAGAUCAUCCAACCAAGCACUUUGUACAACGUCUG